This is a long non-coding RNA of Sphaeramia orbicularis (orbiculate cardinalfish), 236 nucleotides long. RefSeq lists it as uncharacterized. NCBI's taxonomy places the organism in Eukaryota, Metazoa, Chordata, Actinopteri, Kurtiformes, Apogonidae. The transcript has 3 exons. The record is from RefSeq and is a predicted model, not a curated record.
CAAAAUCUAAAAAUCUGCAUUUUGAUAAAACUAAGAAUGAAUGAAACACUUUACAAGAAUUGGCCUAAAUAAGACUAACACUGUCAACUAUCUGAUAGUUUGUAGUUAAUCUGCUCUGUUCUGCAGCCCUGAAAUUUUCCGAAUUGUGGAUUUAUUGUCUGAUAAUUAGACAGGCCACUUACAACAGGCUUCAUUCUUGAUGGUUAAUAGAAUGGUGCAUCUACUGUUUGCAUAGG